GACGAACGCUGGCGGCGUGCUUAACACAUGCAAGUCGAACGGAAAGGCCCUGCUUUUGUGGGGUGCUCGAGUGGCGAACGGGUGAGUAACACGUGAGUAACCUGCCCUUGACUUUGGGAUAACUUCAGGAAGCUGGGGCUAAUACCGGAUAGGAGCUCCUGCUGCACGGUGGGGGUUGGAAAGUUUCGGCGGUUGGGGAUGGACUCGCGGCUUAUCAGCUUGUUGGUGGGGUAGUGGCUUACCAAGGCUUUGACGGGUAGCCGGCCUGAGAGGGUGACCGGCCACAUUGGGACUGAGAUACGGCCCAGACUCCUACGGGGGGCAGCAGUGGGGAAUAUUGCACAAUGGGCGGAAGCCUGAUGCAGCAACGCCGCGUGCGGGAUGACGGCCUUCGGGUUGUAAACCGCUUUCGCCUGUGACGAAGCGUGAGUGACGGUAAUGGGUAAAGAAGCACCGGCUAACUACGUG
Molecule: ribosomal RNA, 468 nt
Filed under: uncultured bacterium
Lineage: Bacteria
Description: partial 16S ribosomal RNA
Rfam family: Bacterial small subunit ribosomal RNA
Source: RNAcentral